This 260-nucleotide unclassified non-coding RNA is filed under the name uncultured Clonostachys. RNAcentral's name for it is "sequence contains ITS2". The stretch from base 1 to 52 matches the Rfam family "5.8S ribosomal RNA", at positions 103 to 154 of the family's 154-position model. Lineage: Eukaryota; Fungi; Ascomycota; Sordariomycetes; Hypocreales; Bionectriaceae. The record is from RNAcentral.
AACGCACAUUGCGCCCGCCAGUAUUCUGGCGGGCAUGCCUGUCUGAGCGUCAUUUCAACCCUCAUGCCCCUAGGGCGUGGUGUUGGGGAUCGGCCAGCGCCCGCGAGGGACGGCCGGCCCCUAAAUCUAGUGGCGGACCCGUCGUGGCCUCCCCUGCGAAGUAGUGAUAUUCCGCAUAGGAGAGCGACGAGCCCCUGCCGUUAAACCCCCAACUUUCUAAGGUUGACCUCAGAUCAGGUAGGAAUACCCGCUGAACUUAA